Long non-coding RNA from Pan troglodytes (chimpanzee), 926 nucleotides. RefSeq lists it as uncharacterized. The record is from RefSeq and is a predicted model, not a curated record. Lineage: Eukaryota; Metazoa; Chordata; Mammalia; Primates; Hominidae. The transcript is spliced from 3 exons.
GGUUUCUUUCCAAAAACUCCCCUUAGGCAAGGCAGGCAGAACUGUGAAGAGAAAACAGAAAAUAGGAGAGCUUGCUCUUGUUUUCUGAAUCCCAAAGAACGUCACCCCCAAUGCUGUCACUCACUAAAUGGAGCAUCUCAGGAGGAGAGAUGCUGCAGCCAGUCUCAGAGGAAGGAUCUCAGUCUCCUGGACAUAUCUGUUGCUUUCUUUCACUUGGUGAUAGACAAGCCACGAUCUCAUUUCAAAGCCUUCAGUUAGGCUAUGGGAUGCUACCUUCAAAAUCAAGCUUCUCUUAGAUCUACGUAGAGGUGGAACACAACAUGAAGAUUGGAUAUUUAAUAUUGGCCUGAGGUUUUCUUUGUUCUGGGAAGUAAUCACUGGAGCGACUCUCUUGGUAUGACAUGCAUGGCUGCAGAGUUCCUCCCAGGAGACUGGACAGUAAAUGGAGUCCCUCAUGCCACAAUGGAUUCACUCAUCUCUUUUAGCACUCAGGAAUUCUACAAAUUUGAUCUUUAAGAAAAUGAUGAAGAUGAGUAUGAAUAACUUGAAGACAGCGUAAUACCUUAAGCCAAGGCCCAAGCCUUGCACAGUGCCCAACACUAAGUAAACACAUGUGUUUAUCAACUGUAAGGAACUAUGGAAACAUUGUCAGGGAUACAAAGGUAAAUUGAGAGACCUGAGUAUUUAAGAAAGAAACAGAAUAUUAAAGACUGGAAACAUUGUUAAAGAUCUCUACUGCAGCCUCCAUGGAUUGAAGGUUUGAAAUAUGAGGCUCAGAGAAACUGUGUGCUGCUCAUACAUUUGAUGAACCUGCCUUAAACACCCUGUUAUUUGUUAUUCCAAUAAGCCCCUAAAUGUUAUUAAUCUUUUGUUGCUGUUGUUUCUAUUAGCAUUUCUACUAAUAAAAGCUUACUAUUUUGUUGACU